UGGUAGACUGGGAAAUCUCUGCAGGCAAAUGUGAUGUAGCUUAAGAAACCACACAGUUACCUGUAGAGAUUCUUCAGUCU
This 80-nucleotide microRNA precursor is filed under the name Jaculus jaculus (lesser Egyptian jerboa). RNAcentral's name for it is "microRNA 216b (ENSJJAG00000005672.1)". It matches the Rfam family "mir-216 microRNA precursor family". The record is from RNAcentral. Lineage: Eukaryota; Metazoa; Chordata; Mammalia; Rodentia; Dipodidae.